AAACAGAAUGCUAUACAACUGGGGCCAUAAAUUGUGAAAGCUAACAAAAAGGUUUCCAAAAUCUUGACCUGAUCUUCUGACAGCUUCAGGAGAGAUCACAGCUCCAGAGCCAAAGCUUUGUCAUGGUCUUCAGUAACUGAACCAAAAGACUCAGGUGACACUGUGAAAAGGAUUGACAGAGCCUGUGACACGAAGGGAUCUGCCAUAUAUGCAGCAAUGCGGCUGUCAAUGGAUGCAUGAGGAAAAAGGGCUGAUGUGAGAACAAAGUACUGUCAGCAAUCUACCCUUUAAACUGCUUAGACCUGGAAGGCACUCUCAUUGCUUUAUUUCCUUGCUCAUUUUUCUCCAAGAUUGGUACAUCUGAACUACCUUUCUACAGAUCUAUA
This is a non-coding RNA of Lonchura striata (white-rumped munia), 386 nucleotides long. The record is from RefSeq and is a predicted model, not a curated record. NCBI's taxonomy places the organism in Eukaryota, Metazoa, Chordata, Aves, Passeriformes, Estrildidae.